CUCUGACAUGCUUGUUUUCUUCCUUUUAACACCCAACAACUUUUGCCAAAUGAGACUUAAGUACAUUAAUCACAUCAUACUCUUUCCCAAGCUGUCUCUGCUCACUAGAGUUUGAGUCUGUCGGUGAUUCUCCUAUAUAGAAGGCAUAGCUGAUACAAAUUCAAGACAGGAAAAGGCAAGGUGGAGAAAUCAAGACCCCAACAGAGGGCUGACCAGGUUACUCAGCAAUGCUGUGGCAGAAACACACAAAAGAGUCCGUGGCUUGUGAUUCACAGGCCAAGACGCUGCCUUGGCGCAGCACUCCCCGUGUUGACGUGGAAGGUGGUGAUGGCAGUGAGCAAAAAAGUGAUCCAUGCACAGAUGCAUUUGUGAACGCCGGAUGAAACAAAGUUAAAAUAGGACCCAGCGGAUGAAGUGGACUGAAACACUGAAUCUGAAACAUUGAUGAUCACUACAGCAAAGGGAAGAGCUCGGUAAAUUGUGCAUAUCGUUCUUAGAUCUUCCACCCAAAAGUAACACUUCCACUUACAUGUAUUGGCCACGAGACAGGAUUGUGCCAUGUUGCCCAGGCUGGUCUGGAACUCCUGGACUCAAGUGAUCCACCCACCUCGAACCUCAACUUCCUAAAGUGCUGGGAUUACAGGCGCGAACCACUGUGUCUGGCCUCCGGGUGGUUUUAAGUGGGAACUUUUAUUUCUCACACAUUCUUCUGUAUAUUCUAUAUUUUCUACAAGAAAUAUAUAUUACUUUUCUAAUCAGGAAAAAAAAUGAAUAUAUGCAUGUGCCUUUACAAAACUGUUCUCAUUCUGCAGAUGAGUGAAACCAAGGUAACAGAUGGGAAGGAAAUGACUCACGUAAGAUCACACAGCAAUCGAUGUCACAUUAUGACAAUGUUCAGGAAACUGCAUUUCCAUUUUUGCACCCCACUCUCUUGGGUCUGUGUUACCCACAGCUUUUCUAACAAGAAUCUCGUUGGCAUCUGACUUGAUCUGGGGACCUAGCACUACACUAUGCAGAAGGGGGCCCCCCCUCAGAAGCCCAGUAUCAGUUAGUAUGUGCUUAUCUGCAGGGGCUCACUGCUGUGGGAGUUUCAGAAGUAGAAGCCACAGUCCCUGUUCUCAAAGGCUUACAGAUGGGUACUCACAGUUGCACAUGAAGCAGGGAUGUCAGUGCUGUUGUGCAGACUCUGAAUGCUGUAAGAAUAGCAGGGGAAGGAACUGGUUGUCAGAGGAGAAACCAAGAACCGUUGGCACAAAAUCUUUUUACCAGGGUUGUUCACAAAAGAAAAAAUGCUGGAAGCUCUGCUCCUUUUAAUUUCCCCCAGCUACCCUGUGUAGGCACCUGAAGGUCAACAGUAUGAAGGAGAAGGGGGUAGAAAUGCACAAAAUAGUUCUCGUUUUGCAUAUUCCAUAGUUCAUAGUAUGUAUUGAAGGUCUUCUUUGACAAACCCCACUGAAGUUUCCUGAUUUCACCUUCACCAUGGCUAAAAGCAGCAGCUCGCCCCCACGCUUUGAUUUUUCCCUCCUGUACUUUCUCUUCCCCUUCUGUUUCUCUUGGUGAGGGGUCCAAAUUGGAAACUUUUUUGUCCCACAGCCCACCAUAAGGGUUCAUUCUGUGAACCUAUGUCUAUUGCAUCCCAGCUUACCUAACAGCUCUUUCCCCAAGAACCAAACUUUAAGUUCCUCUCAGCAGCACAGUAAAUCUUCAGAGGCUAAUACAUGUUUUUUUUUUCUUGAGAUGGAGUUUUGCUCUUGUUGCCCAGGCUGGAGUGCAAUGGCACAAUCUCGGCUCACUGCAACCUCUGCCUCCUGGGUUCAAGCGAUUCUCUCACCUCAGCCUCCUGAGUAGCUGGGAUGACAGGCGCCCGCCACCAUGCCCAGCUAAUUUUUGUAUUUUUAGUAGACACGGGGUUUCACCAUGUUGGUCAGGCUGGUCUCAAACUCCUGAUCUCAGGUGAUCCACCCGCCUCGGCCUCCCAAAGUGCUGGGAUUACAGGUGUGAGCCACCGUGCCCAGCCCACAGACUAAUAUCUUUAAGGAACUUCUAGAAAUCAUCUCUGGCCGAGUCAUCCAGGUGCAAACGAGAGGUUCUGGGCUGAGAUCAAAGAGAACAAGGGGAAGAUUCAGCAGUUACACAGCUGGGCUCAUAGUGAGGGGAUUUGCAUGAAUAUUAACAUCAGCUCCAUUUACUGGGUUCUUUUACCCUGUGCCAGGCAGGUAAUUUGCUUGAUAUGCAUGAUCUGAUUUAAUUUAGUUCUCAUAGUGAUCUUUCUAAAGUAGGCACUACGAUCCCAUCUUCACAGGGAGAAAGGAAGCAAAGUAAGUUGCUCAAAAACACAGCUAGUCAACACCCCCAGAAUGUAUCAUGCCAAGAGUGAACUCUAAUGUAAACUGUGGACUUUGGGUGAUAAUGAUGUGUCAAUGUAGGUUCAAUGAUUGCAACAAAUGUACCACUCUGGUGUGGGAUGUUGACAGUGGGGGAGGCCAUGAGUUGGGGUGAUAGAGGAGAACUCUCUGUACUUUCUGAUUGAUUUUGCUGAGAACCUAAAACAGCUCUAAAAAACAAAGUCUAUGUAACCACACACACACACACACACACACACACACACCCCUAGUAAAUAGUAGGACCAGGAGUUAAGACUAGGUCUGUCUCCUUAGGUGAUGGUGAGUUAUUAUCAACAACAUGUUGAACUCCACCGUACAGGUAGCAAUAAUGAUGUGUGUGUGUGUGCGUGCGUGUGUGCACAUGUGCUGUGCAUGUAUUGAGGAUUGAGGGGGUCUGUGUUAAAAAAGAAAGAAUUGGAAGGAAGAAAUCUCAAACUGAGUCCUGGCUCCAUCACCAGCUGUGUGAUCCUGGACAGGACACUUUGGUUUUAGUUUCCUCAUCUGUAAAUUGCUACUGGGUCAUUGUGAAGAUCCAAUAAAAUAAAAUAUGUACAAAGUACUCUGAAAGCAUAAAGUACUCUGAAAGCAACUACUCCUGUAUUAGUUUCUCUCUCUCUCUCUCACACACACACACACACUCUCAAAUGUAUACAUCUGUGUGAUUUAAAGGGAUAGCCAGGAAACUCGUCUUGUAAGUCUCUAGUCCCACCUUGACACUGAACUACUCCUCUCAUUUGUAAAAUGAAGUGGUAGUUGAACUGGUACUUCCAUUGGAGGGUUUGUUGUGGUUUUCUUGAGACUCUAAACUCUGACUUCCAUCCUCUACUCAGAACUCCAUUCCUAUGUCCCCAUCCAGUCUUAAAGACUUGGCUGCUGUCUCUUCUGUCCACUCUCCACUGCCACCUUCGAGCUUGCAUCCUCCCCACACCCCGACCGGAGUCCCCUGUGCAAUUCAAGACACAGUGCAUCAGUGACAUUCAGACAUCUCUGUCUGAGGAACACUUUGUGGUUUCCCUGCCAUUUAGAAAAGCCUUUAGCUGUAGAAAUUUUCCAACAUACACAAAAACAGAGAGAGUAAUAUAUCUUCAUGUGCCCAAAACCCAUUUUCAACAAUUAUCAACACACAAGCAAUCUAGUUUCAUUUGUAUUCCCACUCACCACCCUACCAGUGGAUUAUUUUGAAGCAAAUACUAUACAUCAUAUUGUUCCAUCUAAAAUAUCUUUAAAAACAAUGACUCUUUUUAUUAACAUAACCAAAAUGCUGACUAGGCACGGUGGCUCACGCCUGUAAUCCCAGCACUUUGGGAGACCAAG
Molecule: long non-coding RNA, 3698 nt
Filed under: Homo sapiens (human)
Lineage: Eukaryota; Metazoa; Chordata; Mammalia; Primates; Hominidae
Description: HSALNT0184061
Source: RNAcentral